RNAcentral lists this ribosomal RNA (253 nucleotides) under uncultured bacterium. RNAcentral describes it as "partial 16S ribosomal RNA". It matches the Rfam family "Bacterial small subunit ribosomal RNA", at positions 524 to 776 of the family's 1533-position model. The record is from RNAcentral.
UACGGAGGGAGCUAGCGUUGUUCGGAAUUACUGGGCGUAAAGCGCACGUAGGCGGCUUUCUAAGUCGGGGGUGAAAUCCUGGAGCUCAACUCCAGAACUGCCUUCGAUACUGGAGAGCUUGAGUCCGGGAGAGGUGAGUGGAACUGCGAGUGUAGAGGUGAAAUUCGUAGAUAUUCGCAAGAACACCAGUGGCGAAGGCGGCUUACUGGCCCGGUACUGACGCUGAGGUGCGAAAGCGUGGGGAGCAAACAGG